CUGCGCCGCCACCAUCCGCUCUGCCGCCCUUCGCUCCACUUCGAAGGUAAGGAAACACUGGUCGUCCUCUACUCCGAAUCCGAAUCUGAAACAGUGGACGACUUCACCUUCGUCGACGCCCAGCAGCCUCCUAGUCUAGUAUCUGCAGGAGGCGGCGGUUUCAUAGUCCUGCCGCUGCUGUACCCAGUCUUGGCCGGCCGAGAUCCCCUCCGCGGGCUGCUCCGGAGACGGCCACCACGCGAGAUUCUGGGCGCCAGGAGGGAAGCAACUGCCAUGGCUGGCUACUUGCUUUUUACUCUGUUGGCUCACCCAAAGGUUGCAAGGUUUCGCAAGAAGCCAUUUCCUCUUUUCUACUCUUUAGAAGCACUUUAUGAAGGUAGUGUGGCUACAGGACAAUUAAAUUUCACAUCAACUCAACAACUGCCUCCUGCUAUUAUUCCUCCUCUUGCUCCUCCUGCUAUUGUUCCUCCUGCUCCUAGUUUUGUUGUUCCUUCAGCUAGGAGUACAUCUGAACAGACUCUCCAUCCAUUCAAUACAAAUCCAUUUGAUUUGGAUGGACAAGAGAUGACAAGUGAAGCUCAAUCUGUGUCAGCUAUUCAUGAAGCAAGAGAGGGAGAAGGUAGCAAAAGUAGAAAGCGUAAGCAGAGCCAUGUUGGAGCAGCUCUCGAAGACUAUGUGGAGUUCAAAAAGAGCCAAACUAACAAGGCACUUGAUGCUCUCAAAGAACUUUCCAUGAGGAAGUGUAUGGAGGAAAUAGAAGCAAUAGGUGGAUUCACAGAAGAGGAGAAGUCAUAUGCUGUGGAGGUCUUUGAGUCCGGGAUUAAUAGAGAGGCUUUCAUGUCAACAAUGAACCACAAUGUUCAAAGAAUGUGGCUAAAGCGCAAAAUCAGGUAUGUCCAUAGUUAA
This 906-nucleotide unclassified non-coding RNA is filed under the name Zea mays. RNAcentral's name for it is "misc RNA Zm00001eb191800". The record is from RNAcentral. Lineage: Eukaryota; Viridiplantae; Streptophyta; Magnoliopsida; Poales; Poaceae.